Molecule: ribosomal RNA, 253 nt
Filed under: uncultured bacterium
Lineage: Bacteria
Description: partial 16S ribosomal RNA
Rfam family: Bacterial small subunit ribosomal RNA
Source: RNAcentral
GACAGAGGGUGCAAACGUUGUUCGGAAUUACUGGGCGUAAAGCGCGUGUAGGCGGCUAUGUAAGUCGGGCGUGAAAUCCCACGGCUCAACCGUGGAAGUGCACCCGAAACUGCGUAGCUAGAGUCCUGGAGAGGAAGGUGGAAUGCUUGGUGUAGAGGUGAAAUUCGUAGAUAUCAGGAGGAACACCGGUGGCGAAGGCGGGUCUCUGGGCAGUAACUGACGCUGAGGAACGAAAGCGUGGGUAGCGAACAGG